GACGAACGCUGGCGGCGUGCCUAAUACAUGCAAGUAGAACGCUGAAGAGAGGAGCUUGCUCUUCUUGGAUGAGUUGCGAACGGGUGAGUAACGCGUAGGUAACCUGCCUUGUAGCGGGGGAUAACUAUUGGAAACGAUAGCUAAUACCGCAUAACAAUGGAUGACACAUGUCAUUUAUUUGAAAGGGGCAAUUGCUCCACUACAAGAUGGACCUGCGUUGUAUUAGCUAGUAGGUGAGGUAAUGGCUCACCUAGGCGACGAUACAUAGCCGACCUGAGAGGGUUGUCGGCCAACAUGGGACUGAGACACGGCCCAGACUCCUACGGGAGGCAGCAGUAGGGGAUCUUCGGCAAUGGGGGCAACCCUGACCGAGCAACGCCGCGUGAGUGAAGAAGGUUUUCGGAUCGUAAAGCUCUGUUGUAAGUCAAGAACGGGUGUGAGAGUGGAAAGUUCACACUGUGACGGUAGCUUACCAGAAAGGGACGGCUAACUACGUG
RNAcentral lists this ribosomal RNA (497 nucleotides) under uncultured bacterium. RNAcentral describes it as "partial 16S ribosomal RNA". It matches the Rfam family "Bacterial small subunit ribosomal RNA", at positions 28 to 507 of the family's 1533-position model. The record is from RNAcentral.